Molecule: ribosomal RNA, 292 nt
Filed under: uncultured bacterium
Lineage: Bacteria
Description: partial 16S ribosomal RNA
Rfam family: Bacterial small subunit ribosomal RNA
Source: RNAcentral
GUGUCAGCAGCCGCGGUAAUACGUAGGGGGCGAGCGUUGUCCGGAUUCAUUGGGCGUAAAGCGCGGGCAGGCGGCCCGCUCAGUCGGCCGUGAAAGCGCCGGGCUCAACUCGGCGAGGUCGGGCGAUACUGGCGGGCUCGAGGCUGGUAGAGGGCGGUGGAAUUCCGGGUGUAGUGGUGGAAUGCGUAGAGCUCCGGAGGAACACCAGUGGCGAAGGCGGCCGCCUGGGCCAGUCCUGACGCUGAGCCGCGAAAGCGUGGGGAGCGAUCCGGAUUAGAUACCCUCGUAGUCC